GCUGAGAUGGCUCAGUCAAUAUAGAGCAUGAGACACUUAAUCUCAGGGUUGUGGGUUCGAGGUCCACAUGAAGUAUUCCUGCA
Molecule: non-coding RNA, 83 nt
Organism: Podarcis lilfordi (Lilford's wall lizard)
Lineage: Eukaryota; Metazoa; Chordata; Lepidosauria; Squamata; Lacertidae
Source: the annotation of a GenBank genome assembly